GACGAACGCUGGCGGCGUGCUUAACACAUGCAAGUCGAACGCUGAAGCUCAGCUCUUGUUGGGCGGAUGUGUGGCGAACGGGUGAGUAACACGUGUGUAACCUGCCUCUUUCUUUGGGAUAACGCUCGGAAACGGGUGCUCAUACUGGAUAUUAACUGGUCUUCGCAUGGGGGUUGGUGGAAAGGGCUUUCUUGGUGGGGGAUGGGCUUGCGGCCUAUCGGCUUGUUGGUGGGGUGAUGGCCUACCGAGGCUUUGACGGGUAGCCGGCGUGAGAGGGUGACCGGGCACAUUGAGACGGUGAUGCGGCCCAGACGCGUACGGGGGGCAGCAGUGGGGAAUAUUGCACAAUGGGCGCAAGCCUAAUGCAGCGACACCGCGUGAGGGAUGGGGACCUUCGGAUUGUGAACCUCUUUCGCUCAUUAUCAGGCCGCAACAAUGGUUAUGGUGAGGGUAGUGGGUAAGGAAGCGCCGGCUAACUACGUG
Molecule: ribosomal RNA, 483 nt
Filed under: uncultured bacterium
Lineage: Bacteria
Description: partial 16S ribosomal RNA
Rfam family: Bacterial small subunit ribosomal RNA
Source: RNAcentral